RNAcentral lists this long non-coding RNA (5076 nucleotides) under Sus scrofa (pig). Its description in RNAcentral is "lncRNA (ENSSSCG00015051677.1)". Lineage: Eukaryota; Metazoa; Chordata; Mammalia; Artiodactyla; Suidae. The record is from RNAcentral.
UUUUUUUUUUUUUUUUGGUUCGUUGAUAACUGCCACCUUUCCAUGUCAAAGAAAUUUUAUCUUAUCUACCAUCAAGGGCAUACGCAAAUUUCUCCACUUCCAGAAAUGCUUUUUACAGCUGGUUCAUUUAAACCAGGACCCAGUCUAGAUCCUUGCAUUACGUCUGGUUUAUACGUCUUUAGGCCCAAAAAACAGUCCCUUUUUUCUCACACUGACUUGUUAAAGAGACCACCUGUUGUCCUACACAAUGACCUACUUUCUAAAUUUGCCUGAUUUUGUUUGUUACUCUACCCUAUCCUGAGUUUUCUGUAAACUAAAUGGUAAAUUUAAAGGCUUGAUAGUAAAUGUUUUGGUCAGAAUACAUUUUAAAUAAUGUUGUAUAUUUCAUAUUGUGUUAGAUCGACCCAUAAUAUUAAUAUGACUCAUCAGUAGAAAUGCUCAGAACUGGUCCCUAGGAGUUUCUGUUGUGGCUCAGUGGUAACAACCCAGCUAGUAUCCAUGAGGACACAGGUUCGAUCCCUGGCCCUCCCCAGUGGAUGAAGGAUCUGGCGUUGCCCUAAGAUUCAGUGUAGGUCGCAGACAUAGCUCAGAUCCCACAUUGCUGUAGCUUGAGGUAUGAGCCAGCAGCUGCAGCUCCAAUUCAACGCCUAGCCUGGGAACCUCCAUAUGCCUCAGGUGCAGCACCCACACCCAAAAAUGGCCCCUAGAUUCAGGUGAUGAUGGUUUGAUUCCUCCAUUGUAGUAUGUUUCCUUAUUGCCAACUAUAAAGCCACUUAGGCGCUUUAUGAAUGGCAGUUACCUUUUAACCACACGUCAAUUGAUAAUUCUCACCUGAAUUAAUAAUUUCACUAAUUUGUAGGGUAAUUAUGUUAUAAUUUCUUCAUUAUUAGGUGGGAAUUUUUUAUUUUUUAUGGCCACACCUGCAGCAUAUGGAACUCUCUGGGCUGGGGAUUAAAUGUGAGCCAUAGCUGUGAUCUAUGCUGCAGCUGUGGCAAUGCCGGAUCCCUUAAUCCACUAUGCUUGGCCAGGGAUUGAACUGUGCCUCUGCAGCAACCUGAGCCACUGCACCACAGCAGGAAUGCCACGUGAGAAGUCAUGCCUUUCAUUGUCAACUGGAGAGAUUCUUGAUUUUAAUAGAAUCAUGUUCCUAUUCCCCCCCCCCCCGGUGAUAUCUCCUCUUAGGAUCUUGUUUAAGAAGUUUUUUUCUAUUCUGUAUUUUUAAAGUAGUUUCAUCUUUGGUAUAUGGGUCUUUUAAUCUAAAUGGAACUCACUGUUGUAGACGUGGAUGAUGGAGGGAUUUAUCUUGUGUCCUCCAUAGCGUGAGCUAUUUUUCUCAAUGCCACCUGUUACAUAGUCUUUGGUACCCAGCAUCCAAGAUGGCCACCAGCAAUUCUUUUGCCGCUUCCUAAUUCAGGCUCUUGUUCAGUCCACUCCCAUGCCGAAGAGGGCUGACCUAUGUAACCUGUAGGAGACUGCAGAAAUGAUAGUGUGUGAUUUCUAAAGCCAGAUCAUAAAAGACCUGUUUCUGCCUCUCUCGGAUCAUUCACUCUGGGGAAAGCCAGCUGCCAUGUAAGGAUACUCAGUCAGCCCUAGGGAGAAGUCCACCUGGAAGCCUCCUGCCAAUGGCCAACACAGACUCCCAGCCACAUGGGUGAACUGUCCUAGAAGUGGAUCCUCUAGGCCCAGUCAAGUCUUCAGAUAAGUACGGCCCUGGUCAACAUCUGGACUCCAGCUUCAUGAGAGACCCUGGCUCAGGACCACGAACUAAGCCAAUCUCACAUUCCUGACUCAGAGAAGUUAUGUGAGAUAAUAAAUGUGUACUGUUGGUUUAAGCUGCUAAAUUUGUAGUAAUUUGUUACCCAGUAACAGAUAACAGAUUUCGGUAUCUGGAGUGGGGUUCUACCAUAACAAAAACCUAAAACGUGGGAGUGGUUUUAGACCUGGGAAGUGGGCACAAGCUGGAAAGACUUUGAGGACGCUUUAUUAAGAGCCUAAAGAGCUCUUCUUUUGUUUCGUUUUUUUUUUUUUGUUUUGGCCACACUUGAGGCAUGUGGGAGUUCCCAGGCCAGGGAUCAAACCAGAGCCAGAGUUAUGACCUGUGCCACAGCUGUGGCAAUACCCGAUCCUUAACCCACUGCGCUACACAGGAACUUCCCUAAAGAGCUUUAAAGAGUAUUCAUAGAAAUCUGAUAACCUUUGAGGAGGCUGCAGUGUGGAACACGUUUAUUGGAAAGUUCCAGAAAGGGAAUCCUUGUUGUGUAGUGGCAGAAGUAUCAACACUGUCUCCUACAGUACUGUAGAAAGUGGAGAACAUAUCUAAUGAACUGAGUGAUCUAGCUAAAGAAAUUUCCAGCUGUACAGUAGGAAAAAAAAAUGACGUAUUGGGGCAAUAAAAAAAAGGAAAAAAAAAAAUUCCAGACAGGAUGUUGAAGAUUAUAGUAAAACAGAAGAGGAGAAGGUAAACUAAAGGAAAAAAGAAUUGAACAAAAAGGAUCCAGGAAUUUGGGGGCUUGCAAGUUUCCAGCCCUUCAGAUAACGAUUGAUGAUAAAAUUAACAAAUGGCUUGCUGGAGUUCCUGCUGUGGCAUGGCGGAUUAAGGAUCUGGUGUUGUCUGUGCAGUGGUGCAGGUUUGAUCCCUGGCCCAGUGCAGUGGGUUAAGGCUCCAGCAUUGCCAGAGCUGUGGCGUAGGUUGCAGCUGCAGCUUGGAUUUGGCCCCUGGCCCAGGAACUUUCAUCUGCCAGAGGUGUAGCUGAGAAGGGAGAAAAAUAUUAACAAACGACCUCCAGGCAAAGAUCACAAACAGGGCAUUCUCUGUAAAACAUGGUCUCAAGAUGAAGCUGAGCACGUGAUUAUAAAAUCCUUUGUUAAGACCUCAGAAUUAUCCAAGAAGAUGCCACAGAGAACCAUCUAAUCAAAUAAUACCACGUCUAAGAGGCUGAAGGCUGUUGUCAGGCAGCAGCCUCAGUAUAAGCCCAACUAGAGAGGCACUUGUCUCACAAAGAUGUGUGGGUGUGGCUUUUGUCUAAUGAUCUGAUACUCAGGACUCAUGACACACCCAUUAAGUUUUUCAAGAGACUUCUGUUGGCAGAAACACUGCCAGCUUAGACUGGAAGGGACAGAGAAUGCAAGAGGAGAAGAAGCUUUUGGACCCUCAAAAUUCUACAGGCAGAAAGCAAGCUAAAGAGGAGUUCCCGUCGUGGCUCAGUGGUUAACGAAUCCGGCUAGGAACCAUGAGGUUGCAGAUUCGAUCCCUGUCCUUGCUCAGUGGGUUAAGGAUCCGGCGUUGCCGUGAGCUGUGGUGUAAGUUGUAGAUGGGGCUCGGAUCCCGUGUUGCUGUGGCUCUGGCGGAGGCUGGCAGCUACAGCUCCAAUUCGACCCCUAGCCUGGGAACCUCCAUAUGCCCUGGGAGUGGCCCAAGAAAUGACGAAAGAAAGAAAAGAAAGCUAAAGAAACUAUGGAGCUGCAAAUAUGGACUGUCUUUCAUGGAGAAGGAAAGAUGGCUCAGGUCUAGAGAAUGAUUCCUGGACAGGAUUAGACAUCAGCGAGCUCCCAACCUUUGUCCAACUGGAUUAUCGAAUUUCUAUGAAGGAACUUUGACUUCUCUGCUUCCUGCUGCCCCCCUUGACCUUUUGAACGAGAGUGGUUAUCCCAAUGCCUGGUCCACCAGUGCAUACUGAGAGUGUGGAUGAGAUAACAAGUCUCUUGAGUUCACAGGUCUUCAGAUCCAGAGGAAAUGUACUUAAGGAGCUGUAGUUAAGAGCUACUCCCAAGGAGCAGCAUCCCUACCUAGACCUGGUUUAGAUGACAAGAUUCUGUACUUAGUGCUGUAAUGGGAUGGGACUUUGGAGGAUCUUGGGAGAAGGUGAGUGUGUUUUGCAUAUGCAAACAGUAUGAAUCAAUGGGAGCCAGAAAGUGGACUAGGGCACCAGCCUCCAAGGGAGUCCCCAGUUAUCCCUGUUUCCUUGUGGUGUUCCCUCCCACACUGAAUAGGGCUAGCAAAACUAGAUCAUAAAAGACAAUAAGAGUCCUCUUGUGGCUCAGAGGGUUAAGGAUCCGGCAUCGUCAUUGCUGUGGCUCCAGGAGCUGGAUUCAUUCCCUGGCUCAGGAACUUCCACAUGCCACAGGGGUGGCCAAAAAAAGAAACAACAACAAAAACCAGUAAGGUCUCCAUCUUGCUCUGUCUUGGAUUAUUUGCUCUGGAGAAGCCAGCUGCCAUAUUGUGAGGACACUCAAACAACCCUAUGGAAAGGCCUCAGUGACAGGGAUCAAAUAUUUCCUGCUGACAGCCAGCGUGCAUUUACCAGUCAUAUGAAUAAGCUUUCUCAGAAACAAAUUCUCCAGACCCAGACGUGCCUUCAGAUUACUGCAGCCUCAGCCGACUUGACACUAAGCUCAUGAGAGACCCCAUGCCAAAAGCACUCAGCUAAGCCACUCCUGAACUCCUAACCCACAGAAACAGAAAAUAAUAUUUGUCGUUGCUUUAAGCUGUUCAGUUUUGGGACAGUUUGUUACACAACAGUAACUAAGACACACUUGCCCCACUGAUGUGUGAUGUUCUCUCUAUAAAUACCAGUUCUCUUGUGUACACUAGUAUGUUUCCAAGUUCUCUAGUGUGUUUUUUGUUGUUUUUGUUUGUUUGUUUGUUCCUGCACCAGAGAUGCAGUGUUGUCAUGAUUAUGGCUUUGUAAGAUCUCUUCAUAUCUGGUAGAGUCAGUCUCUCUUGUUUGACUAUUUUUAAAAAUAGACGUGAGGAGUUCCUCUUGUGGCUUGGUGGGUUAAGAAACUGACAUAGUGUCCAUGAGGAUGCAGGUUCAAUCCCUGGCCUGGAUCAGUGGGUUAAAGAUCUGGCAUCGCUGCAAGCUGUGGCGUAAGUCGCAGAUGCAGCUAGGAUCUAGUGUUGCUGUGGCUGAGGCAUAGGCCUCAGCUGCAGCUCCAAUUGUUGACCCCUAGCCUGGGAACCUCCAUAUGCCGCAGGUGGGACUGUAAAAAGAAAAAAAAAAUUAACCUAAGUAAUGGUAGAUUUAUUCUUCCAUAUUAAUUUUAGAAAGUCUUAGGAGUUUCCAAAAAAAAAAAAAA